Choloepus didactylus (southern two-toed sloth) is the source of this 106-nucleotide small nuclear RNA. Lineage: Eukaryota; Metazoa; Chordata; Mammalia; Pilosa; Megalonychidae. The record is from RefSeq and is a predicted model, not a curated record.
CUGCUCACUUUGGCAACAUAUAUACUAAAAUGGAUUGAUACAGAAAAGAUUAGAAUGGCUCUUGCACAAAGAUGGCAUGUAAAUUUGUGAAGCAUUCCAUAUUAAA